GACGAACCGUGCGAACGUUUAUUCGGAAUCACUGGGCUUAAAGCGCGUGUAGGCGGGCCGGCACGUCGGUCGCUGAAAUCCCCCGGCUCAACCGGGGAAGGGCGCCGAUACGACCGGCCUGGAGGGGCGUAGGGGGACCGGGAACUUCCGGUGGAGCGGUGAAAUGCGUUGAGAUCGGAAGGAACGCCCGUGGCGAAAGCGCGGUCCUGGACGCCUGCUGACGCUGAGACGCGAAAGCCAGGGAGCGAACGGG
RNAcentral lists this ribosomal RNA (253 nucleotides) under uncultured bacterium. RNAcentral describes it as "partial 16S ribosomal RNA". It matches the Rfam family "Bacterial small subunit ribosomal RNA", at positions 524 to 776 of the family's 1533-position model. The record is from RNAcentral.